UAUGAUCUAUGACUUUGAACUUUGCCUAAGG
This 31-nucleotide non-coding RNA is filed under the name Rattus norvegicus (Norway rat). The record is from RNAcentral. Lineage: Eukaryota; Metazoa; Chordata; Mammalia; Rodentia; Muridae.